Molecule: long non-coding RNA, 216 nt
Filed under: Monodelphis domestica (gray short-tailed opossum)
Lineage: Eukaryota; Metazoa; Chordata; Mammalia; Didelphimorphia; Didelphidae
Description: lncRNA (ENSMODG00000031077.2)
Source: RNAcentral
CCGUAAAUGCUCAUUGAGUGUCCGCUGCUUCUAUAAUGAGGAAGUCCUGGGGAAAUACCUCAUAUUGUGUUCCUCCAUACUACAUAGCUAAGGCUCUGUUCAAGUUCUGGAAGCCCUUGCCAAGUCUUUCUAGUCCAUUGUGGAUCUCUUCUUGCUUCUGGUAAGACCUUUUAUUUUGAAUCAAACACUGGAUGACUAAUUUACUGCCUUAGAUUA